UCCCGGUGAUGAAAGUUUUAGUAAUCUUGAACGGUGAGAAAAUGGGGCUCCCUCUUGGGUAAACUUACCAUGGAGGUUUUAGAGGAACCAUUGCUGUAGAUUCUUGGCAACUUCUGAGGGUU
Non-coding RNA from Brassica napus (rape), 122 nucleotides. Lineage: Eukaryota; Viridiplantae; Streptophyta; Magnoliopsida; Brassicales; Brassicaceae. The record is from Rfam.